This 238-nucleotide long non-coding RNA is filed under the name Phoenix dactylifera (date palm). RNAcentral describes it as "long non-coding RNA (PDAC_LNC010166)". Lineage: Eukaryota; Viridiplantae; Streptophyta; Magnoliopsida; Arecales; Arecaceae. The record is from RNAcentral.
AGGGGGGGUAAAUUGGGUUUUAAAGUAAUUAUUGCAAUUAAAAACUUUGUGAGUAACUAAUUAAAACUUAAUUGCAAGUGGAUUAAUUAGUUGCUAUAUGCAGUGGAUGAAGGGAAAGGAAGAGACAAUGAAACAAUCACAAACACAAGCAAUUUUAUAGUGGUUCGGAGCUAACCCUUGCUCCUACGUCCACUUCCCAAGCCUCACUUGGGAGUUCACUAUAAUCCCUCGAAUUACA